GGUUAGGUCUAGGGAUAUGAUUAAGGUUUGAGGUUAGAUGUAGGAAUGUGAUUAAGGUUUGAGGUUAGGUGUAGGGAUAUGAUUAAGGUUUUAGGUUAGGUGUAGGGAUAUGAUUAAGGUUUAAGGUUAGGUAUAGGGAUAUGAUUGAGGUUAGGUGUAGGGAUAUGAUUAAGGUUUAACGUUAGGUGUAGAGAUGUGCUUGAGGUUUGAGGUUAGAUGUAGGGAUAUGAUUAAGGUUUAAGGUUAGGUGCAGGGAUAUGAUUGAGGUUAGGUGUAGGGAUAUGAUUAAGGUUUGAGGUUAGGUGCAGGGAUAUGAUUAAGGUUUUAGGUUUGGUGUAGGGAUAUGUUUAAGGUUUUAGGUUAGGUGUAGGGAUAUGAUUAAGGUUUGAGGUUAGGUGUAGGGAUAUGAUUAAGGUUUUAGGUUAGGUGUAGGGAUAUGAUUAAGGUUUUAGGUAAGCUGUAGGGUCAAGGGUUGAAUUUAGGAAUCAGGUUAGUUAAUGAAUUUACUGCCGAGCAAUUGUCACAGGAGCAAGUGGCAUACUAUCAGUUGAUGUAAAGACACAAUUUAAACUGAUGUAAUAUUGUAGCCCAACCUUGACUGUUAUUAACUCUCUUUUUAUCUCCAUG
Strongylocentrotus purpuratus (purple sea urchin) is the source of this 627-nucleotide long non-coding RNA. RefSeq lists it as uncharacterized. The transcript is spliced from 3 exons. The record is from RefSeq and is a predicted model, not a curated record. NCBI's taxonomy places the organism in Eukaryota, Metazoa, Echinodermata, Echinoidea, Camarodonta, Strongylocentrotidae.